Molecule: ribosomal RNA, 725 nt
Filed under: uncultured bacterium
Lineage: Bacteria
Description: bacterial SSU rRNA
Rfam family: Bacterial small subunit ribosomal RNA
Source: RNAcentral
GGUAGUCCACGCCGUAAACGAUGUCGACUUGGAGGUUGUGCCCUUGAGGCGUGGCUUCCGGAGCUAACGCGUUAAGUCGACCGCCUGGGGAGUACGGCCGCAAGGUUAAAACUCAAAUGAAUUGACGGGGGCCCGCACAAGCGGUGGAGCAUGUGGUUUAAUUCGAUGCAACGCGAAGAACCUUACCUACUCUUGACAUCCAGAGAACUUAGCAGAGAUGCUUUGGUGCCUUCGGGAACUCUGAGACAGGUGCUGCAUGGCUGUCGUCAGCUCGUGUUGUGAAAUGUUGGGUUAAGUCCCGCAACGAGCGCAACCCUUAUCCUUUGUUGCCAGCGGUUAGGCCGGGAACUCAAAGGAGACUGCCAGUGAUAAACUGGAGGAAGGUGGGGAUGACGUCAAGUCAUCAUGGCCCUUACGAGUAGGGCUACACACGUGCUACAAUGGCGCACACAAAGAGAAGCGACCUCGCGAGAGCAAGCGGACCUCAUAAAGUGCGUCGUAGUCCGGAUUGGAGUCUGCAACUCGACUCCAUGAAGUCGGAAUCGCUAGUAAUCGUAGAUCAGAAUGCUACGGUGAAUACGUUCCCGGGCCUUGUACACACCGCCCGUCACACCAUGGGAGUGGGUUGCAAAAGAAGUAGGUAGCUUAACCUUCGGGAGGGCGCUUACCACUUUGUGAUUCAUGACUGGGUGAAGUCGUAACAAGGUAACCGUAGGGGAACCUGC